UCACCUAUAUGGUAAGAGCACAGUUGGUGCUCACCAAAGAAGAGGAAUUAGAGUUGUUGGGCUCUCUUAGUGUUAGAGGGGCGGGAGUUGUCAUGGGAGGUCAUGAAUCAUAGAGAGGUGGAGGGAGCAGUGAGUGGGUUGGAGCAGAAGUGGUUGGGGAUGUUCAGGGUGAUGUUUAUAAGGGACUAGGGCUGGCAGUGGGGGCUCAGUAUAGAAGUAAAAACACUGAGGUAUAGUGGCACAGUGCUGUGAUGCCAGCACUUGAGAGACUGAGGCAGGAGUGUGGGGAAUAUCCCAAGACAGCGUAGGGUAGUGUGUUCCAGGGUUUUGGAGGUGGUUCAAGAUGUUCAGCCACAUAGUUCGUUUAGCCUGAGCUGCAUGGGAUCAUGUUUCGAGAGCCCUUGAGCAUUGGAAGGAGAGACACUCUGUAAUUGGCUGGGUCCCCUAUGUCCAGCAGGCUGCUUCGUGACCCACUAUGUCUUCCCCCACAAGUUCUCUGGACACUCCCUUGCCUGGGAAUGGUUCUCCCCAGCCCAGUACCUCCUCCACUUCACCCACUAUUAAGGAGGAGGGACAGGAGACUGAUCCACCUCCAGGCUCUGAAGGGUCCAGCUCUGCCUACAUCGUGGUCAUCUUAGAGCCAGAGGAUGAACCUGAGCGCAAGCGGAA
RNAcentral lists this long non-coding RNA (669 nucleotides) under Rattus norvegicus (Norway rat). RNAcentral's name for it is "long non-coding RNA NONRATT002599". The record is from RNAcentral. Lineage: Eukaryota; Metazoa; Chordata; Mammalia; Rodentia; Muridae.